This 497-nucleotide ribosomal RNA is filed under the name uncultured bacterium. Its description in RNAcentral is "partial 16S ribosomal RNA". It matches the Rfam family "Bacterial small subunit ribosomal RNA", at positions 28 to 507 of the family's 1533-position model. The record is from RNAcentral.
GAUGAACGCUGGCGGCGUGCCUAAUACAUGCAAGUCGAGCGAACGGACGAGAAGCUUGCUUUUCUGAUGUUAGCGGCGGACGGGUGAGUAACACGUGGAUAACCUACCUAUAAGACUGGGAUAACUUCGGGAAACCGGAGCUAAUACCGGAUAAUAUUUUGAACCGCAUGGUUCAAAAGUGAAAGACGGUCUUGCUGUCACUUAUAGAUGGAUCCGCGCUGCAUUAGCUAGUUGGUAAGGUAACGGCUUACCAAGGCAACGAUGCAUAGCCGACCUGAGAGGGGUAUUCGCCCCCCCUGAACCUGAACACCGUCCCGGAUUCUUACGGAGGGCGCAGUUGGGAAUCCUUCCCCAAUGGGGGAAAGCUUGCGGAACCAACCCGCCUUGGUUGUGGAGGUUCUUCGAUCCUUAAACCUUUUUUUUGGGGGAAAACCUAUUGGUAAGGUAACGUUGCCCUCCUGACCGUAACCUAUUAAGAAGGCCCCGCCAACUUCCUU